This 2056-nucleotide ribosomal RNA is filed under the name metagenome. RNAcentral describes it as "bacterial LSU rRNA". It matches the Rfam family "Bacterial large subunit ribosomal RNA", at positions 3 to 2084 of the family's 2925-position model. The record is from RNAcentral.
UUAAGUUAAUAAGGGCGCACGGUGGAUGCCUUGGCACUAGAAGCCGAUGAAGGACGUGACUAACGACGAAAUGCUUUGGGGAGCUGUAAGUGAGCAAUGAUCCAGAGAUGUCCGAAUGGGGGAACCCGGCAGGUAAUGCCUGUCACUCAUUACUGUUAAGGUAAUGUAGAGGAAGACGCAGUGAACUGAAACAUCUAAGUAGCUGCAGGAAGAGAAAGCAAAAGCGAUUGCCUUAGUAGCGGCGAGCGAAACGGCAAGAGGGCAAACCGAAGAGUUUACUCUUCGGGGUUGUAGGACUGCAACGUGGACUUAAAGAUUAUAGAAGAACUACCUGGGAAGGUAGGCCAAAGAGAGUAAUAGCCUCGUAUUCGAAAUAGUCUUUAUACCUAGCAGUAUCCUGAGUACGGCGAGACACGAGAAAUCUCGUCGGAAUCUGGGAGGACCAUCUCCCAACCCUAAAUACUCUCUAGUGACCGAUAGUGAACCAGUACCGUGAGGGAAAGGUGAAAAGCACCCCGGGAGGGGAGUGAAAUAGAACCUGAAACCGUGUGCCUACAACAAGUUCGAGCCCGUUAAUGGGUGAGAGCGUGCCUUUUGUAGAAUGAACCGGCGAGUUACGAUAUGAUGCGAGGUUAAGUUGAAGAGACGGAGCCGUAGGGAAACCGAGUCUUAAUAGGGCGCAUUAGUAUCAUGUCGUAGACCCGAAACCAUGUGACCUACCCAUGAGCAGGUUGAAGGUGAGGUAAAACUCACUGGAGGACCGAACCAGGGCACGUUGAAAAGUGCUUGGAUGACUUGUGGGUAGCGGAGAAAUUCCAAACGAACUUGGAGAUAGCUGGUUCUCUCCGAAAUAGCUUUAGGGCUAGCGUCGAUGUUAAGUCUCUUGGAGGUAGAGCACUGUUUGGGUGAGGGGUCCAUCCCGGAUUACCAAUCUCAGAUAAACUCCGAAUGCCAACGAGAUAUAAUCGGCAGUCAGACUGCGAGUGCUAAGAUCCGUAGUCGAAAGGGAAACAGCCCAGACCACCAGCUAAGGUCCCAAAAUAAUUGUUAAGUGGAAAAGGAUGUGGAAUUGCACAGACAACUAGGAUGUUGGCUUAGAAGCAGCCAUUCAUUCAAAGAGUGCGUAAUAGCUCACUAGUCGAGUGACCCUGCGCCGAAAAUGUACCGGGGCUAAAACAUAUUACCGAAGCUGUGGAUACCUUUAUAGGUAUGGUAGGAGAGCGUUCUAUGUGCGAAGAAGGUGUACCGUGAGGAGUGCUGGAGCGCAUAGAAGUGAGAAUGCCGGUAUGAGUAGCGAAAGACAGGUGAGAAUCCUGUCCACCGUAAGACUAAGGUUUCCAGGGGAAGGCUCGUCCGCCCUGGGUUAGUCGGGACCUAAGGAGAGACCGAAAGGUGUAUCCGAUGGACAACAGGUUGAUAUUCCUGUACUAGAGUAUAUAGUGAUGGAGGGACGCAGUAGGCUAACUAAACCAGACGAUUGGAAGUGUCUGGCCAAGCAGUGAGGUGUGAUAUGAGUCAAAUGCUUAUAUCUAUAACAUUGAGCUGUGAUGGGGAGCGAAGUUUAGUAGCGAAGUUAGUGAUGUCACACUGCCGAGAAAAGCUUCUAGCGUUAAUUAUACUCUACCCGUACCGCAAACCGACACAGGUAGUCGAGGCGAGUAGCCUCAGGUGAGCGAGAGAACUCUCGUUAAGGAACUCGGCAAAAUGGCCCCGUAACUUCGGGAGAAGGGGCGCUGACUUAUGGUCAGCCGCAGUGAAUAGGCCCAAGCAACUGUUUAUCAAAAACACAGCUCUCUGCUAAAUCGUAAGAUGAUGUAUAGGGGGUGACGCCUGCCCGGUGCUGGAAGGUUAAGAGGAGUGCUUAGCAAUAGCGAAGGUAUGAAUUGAAGCCCCAGUAAACGGCGGCCGUAACUAUAACGGUCCUAAGGUAGCGAAAUUCCUUGUCGGGUAAGUUCCGACCCGCACGAAAGGCGUAAUGAUUUGGGCACUGUCUCAACGAGAGACUCGGUGAAAUUUUAGUACCUGUGAAGAUGCAGGUUACCCGCGACAGGACGGA